UUUGGUAAAUUUGAAAAAUUCUUAAAGAAGGAUGAAUAACUUAAACAUUUGAAUCCUUCUUUGGCAAAGAAGAUAAAAGUUUAGCCAAAAAGCAUUAAAUGAUAUUUAUAUAUAGAUAUGUUCAGUAUGAUUAAAUAUUGAUUCUAAAUCUAGGAAAAGAUUAUGGUAAAUUGGUUUAUGGCCAAGCUAAAUGGAAUGUACAAAACUAAUCUUUAGGUGCUACUUGAAUUAAUCAGUCAAAAAUAUUCACUAUUUUAAAAGAGCAUAUUUUCUAUUUUUUUACAUGAUGUUCAACCAGUGAAAUAUUGGAAUGUGGCCUAAUAUACUCUUUAAUUCUGAUAACUCACUAAGUUUAUUUGUUCUUGCAAACAAAAUCCAAGUAUACUCUGUAUAACAACUACUUACAAAUUUUACAAAAUAAAAUUCAAAAUGGCAAGUUUACAAUGAGCAAGGACAACAUUUAGCACAAACAAACAAGAUGCAUUUUAAGAACCAUUAAAUCCUUCAGCCAAAGAUUCCGAACUUGCAUUUUUUAAAACUAUUUUGUUUUAAAUGGUUGUGUUUUAAGGUAUUAGACUAAAAAGUCAGCUUAUGUGAGUUUUUUUACUUUUUGUUUUUAAAAAUAUAUUGUGUUUAAUAUAUUUUCAAGGCAAUGUAAACAUUAAAUAUAACAUAUUAUUCAUGUGAAAAGGGAUGAAGUUUGAUUUAUGUUUUAACACUGAGACAUUUAGUUAUGCAGUAAAUCAGUAUAAUUUAAAAAAAUUGCUCAUAAAUUUUAGUGACUGGAUUAUUAUGAUAUAUUUGUAUUAAAAGUGCUUGCUCUACUGUUACUGUUUCUCACUAAAACACAUUGUUUUGAUAUUUAUAUUUAAAAAGAAUUAAUUUGCCUGAGUAUUAAACAGUAACUUGUCUUUUGGUUACAAGAAUAAUUAUGAAUAAUUUGAGUCUUAUUGUUAGUAAAUUUAUUUAUUUCAAGUUCACUACACACACACACACACACACACACAGUUUAACUAAGUGCAUGUAAAGCUACUGUUUUCCCCAUUACUUAUUUUGAAAGAUAAUUUAGAAAAUGCAUUGAAUUAUUCACAAAACUAAACCAAUUUUUAUUGUUGAAUGUUUUGUAUGAUUUUACUUUCUCAUCGUAGAACAUGAACUGACAAAUUUCUUCUAGUUAUUAUAUCACCUUGGUAAAUAAUAUGUAAUUGUAAGUAGACCAGCCAGAAACACUAGUUUUCUUUUCAUGCUAGUAUACUAAUUUAAACACUUAGAGCCGACCCACACAGCACUAGUAAUGGUAACUGUUAUGGUUGCCUUAAUGGUUUGCUUGAAAAUAAAUAAUUGUCUAUCAAUUACUUAUUAAUUCUAAAUUGAAAUGAUUUUACUUAGAAUUUUCAUUUAGGUACAAUGAAUGUGGGUUUGUGUAAAUUUUAACUCCAAUUUCAACAUUUACAGAAUCUAAUCUUCAUAGAAGUUCUAAAAUCAUCUGCAAGUGUGGUUAAGUGAUUUUAUAAAUUUGUCGUCUUGCUUGUAGAUUAAAAUUUUCCUCCUUACAGGGAUGGGUUUGUAUUAAUCACAUCCUUGAGGUAGCUGUAAUGUCCUAAUUACAAGUAUCACUCGGUGAGCACUGAUUCUUCAACUUUGAGCUUGGUUUAACUUGGGUACUUCUCUGACAGCUGCAGUAUACAUUGAGCUUGGUUUAACUUGGGUAAUUCUCUGACAGCUGCAGUGUAAUUUGAGCAUGGUUUAACCAUAUCCUUGAAUUAGUCAGCUGUAAUGCUCUAAUCACAAAUAUCACUCAGUGAGCAUUGAUUCACAAACUUAAGUUUUGGUUAAUUUCGUGUACAACUUUGGACAUUAUUUAAUAGCUAUGUGUACUCAUGGUGAUAUUCAAUUGUUCAAGAUAAGUGCUGACACUGUAUGCUUUAUGUGUUUGCAUAUUAAAUAAAUGCACUGUACUUAUAUUAGUAUUAAAAUUGUAUUACUAGAAAUUUGUAAGGUACAGAAAAGAACUUAAUUUCACAACCAUUAUACUUUAUAA
Limulus polyphemus (Atlantic horseshoe crab) is the source of this 2041-nucleotide long non-coding RNA. RefSeq lists it as uncharacterized. NCBI's taxonomy places the organism in Eukaryota, Metazoa, Arthropoda, Merostomata, Xiphosura, Limulidae. The record is from RefSeq and is a predicted model, not a curated record. The transcript has 2 exons.